UACGUAGGGUGCAAGCGUUUGUCCGGAAUUAUUGGGCGUAAAGAGCUCGUAGGCGGUCUGUCGCGUCUGCUGUGAAAACUCAGGGCUUAACCCUGAGCUUGCAGUGGGUACGGGCAGACUAGAGUGCGGUAGGGGAGACUGGAAUUCCUGGUGUAGCGGUGAAAUGCGCAGAUAUCAGGAGGAACACCGGUGGGCGAAGGCGGGG
This 205-nucleotide ribosomal RNA is filed under the name uncultured bacterium. RNAcentral's name for it is "partial 16S ribosomal RNA". It matches the Rfam family "Bacterial small subunit ribosomal RNA", at positions 524 to 726 of the family's 1533-position model. The record is from RNAcentral.